RNAcentral lists this ribosomal RNA (249 nucleotides) under uncultured bacterium. RNAcentral describes it as "partial 16S ribosomal RNA". The stretch from base 28 to 249 matches the Rfam family "Bacterial small subunit ribosomal RNA", at positions 1 to 222 of the family's 1533-position model. The record is from RNAcentral.
GACUAGUCGUACUCCGAUGCAUNCNGAAUUAUUUAUUGAUCAUGGCUCAGAGUGANCGCUGGCGUGUAGGCCUAACACAUGCAAGUCGAACGGCAGCACAGGAGAGCUUGCUCUCUGGGUGGCGAGUGGCGGACGGGUGAGGAAUACAUCGGAAUCUACUCUGUCGUGGGGGAUAACGUAGGGAAACUUACGCUAAUACCGCAUACGACCUACGGGUGAAAGCAGGGGAUCUUCGGACCUUGCGCGAUU